UAACGCGUGGGUAACCUGCCUUAUACAGGGGGAUAACAGUCAGAAAUGGCUGCUAAUACCGCAUAAGCGCACAGAGCUGCAUGGCUCAGUGUGAAAAACUCCGGUGGUAUAAGAUGGACCCGCGUUGGAUUAGCUUGUUGGCGGGGUAACGGCCCACCAAGGCGACGAUCCAUAGCCGGCCUGAGAGGGUGAACGGCCACAUUGGGACUGAGACACGGCCCAG
Molecule: ribosomal RNA, 223 nt
Filed under: uncultured bacterium
Lineage: Bacteria
Description: partial 16S ribosomal RNA
Rfam family: Bacterial small subunit ribosomal RNA
Source: RNAcentral